RNAcentral lists this ribosomal RNA (376 nucleotides) under uncultured bacterium. RNAcentral describes it as "bacterial SSU rRNA". It matches the Rfam family "Bacterial small subunit ribosomal RNA", at positions 30 to 407 of the family's 1533-position model. The record is from RNAcentral.
AUUGAACGCUGGCGGCAUGCCUUACACAUGCAAGUCGAACGGCAGCGGACCUUCGGGUGCCGGCGAGUGGCGAACGGGUGAGUAAUAUAUCGGAACGUACCUUUCAGUGGGGGAUAACGUAGCGAAAGUUACGCUAAUACCGCAUAUUCUGUGAGCAGGAAAGCAGGGGGAUCGCAAGACCUUGCGCUGAUUGAGCGGCCGAUAUCAGAUUAGCUAGUUGGUGAGGUAAAGGCUCACCAAGGCGACGAUCUGUAGCGGGUCUGAGAGGAUGAUCCGCCACACUGGAACUGAGACACGGUCCAGACUCCUACGGGAGGCAGCAGUGGGGAAUUUUGGACAAUGGGCGCAAGCCUGAUCCAGCCAUGCCGCGUGAGUG